CCUACGGGGCGCAGCAGUGAGGAAUAUUGGUCAAUGGUCGGGAGACUGAACCAGCCAAGCCGCGUGAGGGAGGAAGGUACAGAGUAUCGUAAACCUCUUUUGUUAGGGAACAAAGGCGGGGACGUGUCCCCGGAUGAGUGUACCUGACGAAAAAGCAUCGGCUAACUCCGUGCCAGCGGCCGCGGUAAUACGGAGGAUGCGAGCGUUAUCCGGAUUUAUUGGGUUUAAAGGGUGCGCAGGCGGUUUGUUAAGUCAGCGGUCAAAGCCCGGGGCUCAACCCCGGCCCGCCGUUGAAACUGGCAGUCUCGAGUUGGAGAGAAGUAUGCGGAAUGCGCGGUGUAGCGGUGAAAUGCAUAGAUAUCGCGCAGAACUCCGAUUGCGAAGGCAGCAUGCCGGCUCCACACUGACGCUGAGGCACGAAAGCGUGGGUAGCGAACAGGAUUAGAUACCCGUGUAGUC
RNAcentral lists this ribosomal RNA (459 nucleotides) under uncultured bacterium. RNAcentral's name for it is "partial 16S ribosomal RNA". It matches the Rfam family "Bacterial small subunit ribosomal RNA", at positions 338 to 795 of the family's 1533-position model. The record is from RNAcentral.